Molecule: long non-coding RNA, 1367 nt
Filed under: Sorghum bicolor (sorghum)
Lineage: Eukaryota; Viridiplantae; Streptophyta; Magnoliopsida; Poales; Poaceae
Description: long non-coding RNA (SBIC_LNC010939)
Source: RNAcentral
CUAUCCCCCAUUUGCGCCACACGGGUAACCUCUAACAAGCUAGAAAAGUUACUCAUACUUGACUAAAGCCAGAGCCAUUAUAGCCCUCAAGGUUGCACUUUCAUCCCGGUUAUCACUUACGAAUAAAUCCUCAAGUUGUUAAAAAGUCAUUAUUAUCAUUUGUUGCUUUAUAUCAAUCUAGUCACAAGAUCAUGGUCAUAGAAUUAAAACCCAAAUGCUAUACUUGCCUUGAUUGAAUUGCUCCUGCUGGUCCUGCUGAUCUUACUUGCUUCCAAGGCUCUGAUCUUGAUCACCGAAGUAAAGCUCACUGUCUAAUCUCGAUCAUCGAUUAUCGACACACAAGCAUUCAAGGCCACACAUACACAAAGCAAACAAAGCUACAAUUAGAACAGUACACCAACAGAUCAAAAAUGAAAUAAAAUAUUUAAAAAUAGAACCUACGUUUCGCUACGAUCACAUAGAUACGAAGAUCACGAAAAUCGGAGCCAAAACGACCAAAUUACGGAUUUACGGCGAUUUCCUAUAGGCAAUUAAUUAAUUAAACCUAACCCUGAAAAUAAAAAGUUGCAAACUACAGAAACAGUAGUACUAACAUGUAGAGAAUUUAAUUACGAAUCUAACGCAAUUUGAACGGGUCAAAUCGGAGCUAAAACGAAUAUUUUAUGGCCUAAACAAAAUCAGUGGCAAUUUAGUAAAUACUGAAAACGUAUUUUGAAGCAAGCCGCGAUAGUUUACGUUUUCAACACAGCAAGUCGUAUUUUUUUUCGAAUGCGCCAGGGACCGCGGGUUCUAUAUUUAAAAAGUUGAGGGGCUCUUUAACAAAAUUUCAGGCCGAAAGGGUAUUGGCUAUCUUGAGCCGUUGGAUCUCAGAUGAACGCGCAGGAUUAAAACAAAAGAAGAAAAAAGAAAAAAAACAAAAAGAAGAGAGAGGGAGGGGGUGGUGCCUGCUGCCGGAAGGGAAGGAGGCCACGGCAGGCAGCCAUUAACGGCGACAUGGAGCUCACCGGCGUUGGGCGUUAGGAGGCUACGGGCCACCGUUUUCGAUUCCGAUUGAAUUGGGAGAAAGAGGAGAGCGAUGCGAGUCCAUUCCAACCCAUAAACGCGGUCGAGGGGCCGGUUUCCGAGAAGGUUCACGGCGACGCCAUGAACGUCACGACGGAGCUCGCGGAAAUAACUCGUGAGGCCACGGUUCCGCACGGGAAAAAGGCGAGGAGGGAGAGGGGAAGGAGGCACGCUCACCACGGCGAUAAUCGGGGGCGGAUACGGCUCGGUUUUUGAGUUGAGCACGGAUGUCGGCGGCGGCGUCCUUCGCUACGGCUGCUGUGCGGUCCAAGGCGAAGGCAGGGGCAGGGAGAGAGGGGAAUGGG